GGAGCAAGAAGUGGCCCGCCGGAGGGCUGUACUCCUCCCCACCGCCGCCGCCCCCGCCCGCCGGGAGAAGGGUUGCGGCGACGCGACGCCCCGCCGGAGAGAGAAGGUCAGAUUCCAGCCGGAGAGAGAAGCGGCCACCGGAGGACUCAUCCGAGAAGAGGGGAGAUGCCCAGAUGGAGGAAUCGAAUACUCAAUGAUUUUUAGGGGAUAUCCCCCCCUUCGUCUCGGCCGAUCGGGCUCUCCCCAGAAAACCUAAAUCUCAGAGCCCCAUUUACGGCGGAGAGAGGAUAUCUCUUCACAGGUCAGAUCCCUCCCUCGGCGGCGCCGCCGGCAAGAGGACGAUCCACGGUGGGGGGAGGAGGUAGCAAAGGGAGCGAGCGGCGGCCACUGAUUCUUCUGGGGGCGAGGAGGGAGGAGAAGAUAAACCAGAGGAACAGGACAGAGCGUAACUAUGACCUUUCGAGCCCGUUAUCUCCUUCCUCCGCUAUGACUGACCUGCCAUUUUUGGAAAAAAUCAACCAAUGAGAAGACCAGACCAGAUAUCAUCAACACGCCCUCUCUCUCUCUACUUUUGUUUACUCUCUGAUAUUUCAAAAAGCGGAG
Molecule: long non-coding RNA, 603 nt
Filed under: Spirodela polyrhiza (greater duckweed)
Lineage: Eukaryota; Viridiplantae; Streptophyta; Magnoliopsida; Alismatales; Araceae
Description: long non-coding RNA (SPOL_LNC001928)
Source: RNAcentral